RNAcentral lists this long non-coding RNA (200 nucleotides) under Carica papaya (papaya). RNAcentral describes it as "long non-coding RNA (CPAP_LNC001032)". Lineage: Eukaryota; Viridiplantae; Streptophyta; Magnoliopsida; Brassicales; Caricaceae. The record is from RNAcentral.
AUUUAUAAAUAGAUAAGUCGACAGCCUCACUAGAUAUCUUGGGAGAUAAUGGACGGACCGGAUCCAUAGGGAACCUUACCGGGACGUGGUCUCUCAUAUUGGACGGGGUAUGGAGACUUUAAAUAUUUUGGCGCUCAUACCAAACGGGGUAUGGGAACGGACCGCUUCACCCUAAUACCAGACGGUAUUGAGGUUUAUGG